RNAcentral lists this ribosomal RNA (678 nucleotides) under Anophryoides haemophila. RNAcentral's name for it is "partial Bacterial small subunit ribosomal RNA". It matches the Rfam family "Bacterial small subunit ribosomal RNA", at positions 406 to 1076 of the family's 1533-position model. The record is from RNAcentral. Lineage: Eukaryota; Ciliophora; Oligohymenophorea; Philasterida; Glauconematidae.
UGAAGAAGGCCUUCGGGUUGUAAAGCUCUUUUGUCAGGGAAGAAACGGUGGGAGCUAAUAUCUCCUGCUAAUGACGGUACCUGAAGAAUAAGCACCGGCUAACUACGUGCCAGCAGCCGCGGUAAUACGUAGGGUGCAAGCGUUAAUCGGAAUUACUGGGCGUAAAGCGUGCGCAGGCGGUUUUGUAAGUCUGAUGUGAAAUCCCCGGGCUCAACCUGGGAAUUGCAUUGGAGACUGCAAGGCUAGAAUCUGGCAGAGGGGGGUAGAAUUCCACGUGUAGCAGUGAAAUGCGUAGAGAUGUGGAGGAAUACCGAUGGCGAAGGCAGCCAUCUGGCCUAAUACUGACGCUGAGGUACGAAAGCAUGGGGAGCAAACAGGAUUAGAUACCCUGGUAGUCCAUGCCGUAAACGAUGUCUACUAGCCGUUGGGGCCUUUGAGGCUUUAGUGGCGCAGCUAACGCGAUAAGUAGACCGCCUGGGGAGUACGGUCGCAAGACUAAAACUCAAAUGAAUUGACGGGGGCCCGCACAAGCGGUGGAGCAUGUGGUUUAAUUCGAUGCAACGCGAAGAACCUUACCUGGUCUUGACAUGUCAAGAAGUCUGCAGAGAUGCGGAUGUGCCUUCGGGAACUUGAACACAGGUGCUGCAUGGCUGUCGUCAGCUCGUGUCGUGAGAUGUU